This 403-nucleotide ribosomal RNA is filed under the name Verrucomicrobiota bacterium. RNAcentral describes it as "Verrucomicrobia bacterium partial 16S ribosomal RNA". It matches the Rfam family "Bacterial small subunit ribosomal RNA", at positions 355 to 776 of the family's 1533-position model. The record is from RNAcentral. Lineage: Bacteria; Pseudomonadati; Verrucomicrobiota.
UGGGGAAUAUUUCACAAUGGGCGCAAGCCUGAUGCAGCAACGCCGCGUGAACGAUGAAGGUCUUCGGAUCGUAAAGUUCCGUUGCAGGGGAAGAUAAUGACGGUACCCUGUGAGGAAGCCCCGGCUAACUACGUGCCAGCAGCCGCGGUAAUACGUAGGGGGCUAGCGUUAUCCGGAUUUACUGGGCGUAAAGGGUGCGUAGGUGGUCUUUCAAGUCGGUGGUUAAAGGCUACGGCUCAACCGUAGUUAGCCUCCGAAACGGGAAGACUUGAGUGCAGGAGAGGAAAGUGGAAUUCCCGGUGUAGCGGUGAAAGGCGUAGAUAUUGGGAGGAACACCAGAAGCGAAGGCGGCUGUCGGGACUGCAACUGACACUAAGGCACGAAAGCGUGGGUAGCAAACAGG